CUCUGGCCUGGAUUUAAAAUUUUUACCGGUAUUUUCGAGUACAUGGCGGCACGGAUUCAUUCGUUCGUGCGCUCAGACUGGUUGCUUCUUUUUCGCUAAAACUAGUUUAUUGCGCUUCGAUGUCACGCGUUAUUUAACCUGGGGUGAAGUGACGUGUUUGCAAGCGGACAUGUAAGCCCGAAAGUUGGGUAUCGGUCGUGAGCCAUUCGGAACACGUCUGCAUCGAAACGGGAGCUGGAUUCUGGUGCGGCUGACAACGGUAAUAACGACAUGCAGUAAUGAGGAUGGCACCAGUAUAAAGCAACACACUCCACACACUAAACAGAAGCUGCUGCCUGCUACAACAAGGCCAUUGUGUGGACAUUGGCUGCUACUACAAGAGUCCAUGCCAAGCAUACCUUGGUCAUCACAGGAGCUCCUAUCCACACCAACAGAAAGGGGCUGGACCUGAAUUUGCAAGGCUUUUACACCACGAACAAAGAAGCGCAUGCAGAAGAAUUUACAUGAGAUAUCAAGUCUGCAGAGCACUGUGUCAAGACUGAAAAGAGCUUCAGCCACCAUUCCACCAGCGCGGACAAAUUGCCUUAGUCAUCCAGGUAACUCAAAAAGGACUUUAUGGAAAUUCUUCGUCUUCAGAUGCGCCUGCAACUUCUGAUCAAGCACGGACGACGCUGGCCAAAAGAGUUCCAUCAGUUUGCCCUUAAUCAGCUUCCUGGCCAUGUCAAUUCCAUUUGUGCCAAGUGUAAUUUUUCUUCUAUAAAUGCAAGCUUUUUCAUUGCCCAUUCUCGUUAGACAUCAUUCAUCCUCAUCCAAACAUAAAGGUCAACCGAUUCUUCGCUGAUGCUUAAUACCAGUCACUGUCUAGUAGCAUAACAUAUCUGUAGCAGUACCUUUUAGUGCAUGUUGUCAUGCACAAUUCCUCUCCUGAAAUAGCUGAUGCAACAUCGACAUGUUUCUUGCAUUAACCUACGCACUGUUUGCUAUGCACCAUUUUACUUUUCUUGAUGUUUUUGGCCUUCAUUGCUUGCAGAGCAGGGUGGCUUCUCUCUUGAAUGCAAGCUUUCUCAUUUUCCAUAUUCCUAGUCUCGUUGAUGGUUGCUCUUCUUCCUCGAUAGCCUGGGUCUUUGCGCAAGCUACACUGAAUGAUAGAUUGCAGAAUCUGGUUUUGCUGCCCCACUUGGUUACGGUCGCCGUAUUAUGCUUAUCGGAUGUGGGGGCCUGGUCAGUUGCAUUGGAAAACAGUCUCUCGAGGUAAGCAUUUGCUCCUGCAGUCCGCACAGCGACAUAGACUCCCAAUUUACACACCAUGAUUCGUGCUCCCCGUUCAGCCUUUCCUGCUGCAGCCAUGUGCAAAUUGUGCCUGCGGCCUUUCUCAGUCGCAAUUAAGCGCGAACGGAGACAAGCAUACAUGCUUACAUGGUCCAACGUGUUUGAAGUUCAUAGCCACAUGGGUGGAAAGGCCCGCAUAAAUGGCUGCCGAAGGUGAUGCCCACGAAAGCGACUUGUCCAUAUUGAGACAAAGUGGGACACCAAAUGUGAGCCACACAUUAGUGGCCCUCGACAGAAAAGAAACAUGCAGGUUGGAAAGGAGUUAACGCUAAAAUGCCGGAUAGUCCAUUUCGCUGUGUUGGUUGUGGCAGCAGAUGCCUGCAUCACCUGAUUGCUUCGCAAUGGAAGUUGCUCAUCUUCAACGGCAACUGUCGGUUCAAACAGGUGCGACGCUCUGUCCAAUCUGUUUUUACUGCUGUUUGUCGCUCGUUACGAGACCACCACAUGCGACGAAGGCAAGCAUUAUGCCUGUAAGUAGGCAGCUGAAUGUAUCCUAAGAGACCCGUGUAUGUGAAUGCUCACUGUUGCCAUAUGGUUUGUAGCCAAUGUAUAAUGUAUUCUCUGAACACUAUGUGGUGAAUGAUUGCCGUUUAUUUUUGCUGUUAUCUCACUUGGUUACGGUCGCCGUGUUAUGCUUAUCGGAUGUGGCGGCCUGGUCAGUUGCACUGGAAAGCAGUUUCUCGAAGUAAGCAUUUGCUCCUGCAAUCUGCACAGCGCCAUAGACUCCCAAUUUACACACCGUGAUUCGUGCUCCCCGUUCACGUUCAGCCUUUCCUGCUGCAGCCAUGGGCAAAUUGUGCCUGUUGCCUUUCUCGGCCGCGAUUAAGCACGAACGGAGACCGGCAUACGUGCUUACAUGGUCCGACGUGUGUGAAGUUGGGUGCAAAGGCCCGCAAAAGUGGCUGAUGAAGGUGAUGCCCACGAAAGCGACUUGUCCAUAUUGAGACAAUGUGGGACACCAAGUGCGAGCCACACAUUAGCGGCCCCCGAAAGAAAAGUAACGUGCAGGUUGGAAAGGAGUUAAGGCUAAAAUGCCGGGUAGUCCAUGUCGCUGUGUUGGCUGCGGCAGCAGAUGCCUGGUUCACCCGAUUGUUUCGCAGUGUUAGUUGCUCAUCUUUAACGGCGACUGCCGCUGCAAACAGGCGGGACACUGACCAAUCUGCAUGAGCCGCUGGUUUUCGCUCGUUACUAGACCGCCAUGUGUGACGACGACGGUGAGCCGUUUACGAGCUCGCGUCAAAGAUUCCAGUGUAUCUCGACAUACAAAUUUUAUUUCUACUAUUGCACGAGAAUGUACAUACACUGCUGGUCUUCUGCCAAUAAAGUCGCACGUUCUGUUCACUCACUUGUGGCUUGUUUGUAUGGGCGUCAGUAGAGGCUCUUUGCUCUCCUGGCAAUUAGAACGCACCGGCUA
This is a non-coding RNA of Dermacentor andersoni, 2743 nucleotides long. The record is from RefSeq and is a predicted model, not a curated record. Lineage: Eukaryota; Metazoa; Arthropoda; Arachnida; Ixodida; Ixodidae.